Molecule: ribosomal RNA, 782 nt
Filed under: Sphindus dubius
Lineage: Eukaryota; Metazoa; Arthropoda; Insecta; Coleoptera; Sphindidae
Description: partial 16S ribosomal RNA
Rfam family: Bacterial large subunit ribosomal RNA (bases 1-577)
Source: RNAcentral
GUCUUUUUGAGAAUAAUUUAAAGUCAGGCCUGCCCACUGAAUUUUGAAUGGCCGCAGUAUUUUGACUGUGCAAAGGUAGCAUAAUCAUUAGUUUUUUAAUUGAAAGCUAGAAUGAAAGGUUAAAUGAAAAAAUAACUGUCUCUAUUUAAUUUUAUUAGAAUUUUAUUUUUAAGUUAAAAAGCUUAAAUUUUAUUUAUAGACGAGAAGACCCUAUAGAGUUUGAUUUAUGUAUGCAUUAAUUUUAUUAGUAUUAUUUUUAUAUGUAUGUAUAUAUAAAUUUGGUUGGGGUGAUUUAAAAAUUUAAUUAACUUUUUAUAUUAUUAAACAUUAAUUUAUGGUUAAAUGAUCCUAAAUAUUAGAUUAAAAGAUAAAUUACCUUAGGGAUAACAGCGUAAUUUUUUUAAAGAGUUCAAAUCGAAAAAAGAGAUUGCGACCUCGAUGUUGGAUUAAAGAUAGUGUUUGGUGUAGAAGCUAAAAAACUGAGUCUGUUCGACUCUUAAAUCUUUACAUGAUCUGAGUUUAAACCGGUGUAAGCCAGGUUGGUUUCUAUCUUAAAUAUUUUAAUAUACUUUAGUACGAAAGGACCAAGUAUAUAAUUAAUAAUUUAAUUUAUAAAUAUUAUUUUGGCAGAUUAGUGCAAUUGAUUUAGAAUCUUUAAAUAUGAUUAUUCAUAAAUAAUAUUGACUUUAAAAGAUACUUUAUUAUUUUUAGUUUCUUUAUUAAUUUUAUUAGUUAUAGUUUUAAUUAGAGUAGCUUAUUUAACAUUAUUGGAACGUAAGGUU